AACGUAGGACGCAAGCGUUAUCCGGAGUUACUGGGCGUAAAGCGCGGGCAGGCGGCUCGAAACGUCUGAUGUGAAAGCACCCGGCUCAACCGGGUGAGGCCAUUGGAAACGGUCGAGCUGGAGGGCAGUAGAGGUAGGCGGAAUUCCGGGUGGAGUGGUGAAAUGUGUUGAUAUUGGAAGGAACACCGGAGGCGAAAGCGGUGUACUGGGGCUGGUCUGACGCUGAGGCACGAAAGCCAGGGGAGCGAACGGG
This 253-nucleotide ribosomal RNA is filed under the name uncultured bacterium. RNAcentral describes it as "partial 16S ribosomal RNA". It matches the Rfam family "Bacterial small subunit ribosomal RNA", at positions 524 to 776 of the family's 1533-position model. The record is from RNAcentral.